UAUGUGUAGUGCUAAUUGGGAGAUAAAGAAAAAAUAAGCACACCACCUGAUUUUAAGCACCUAAUUUAGGUUAGGAGGCUUAUCUUGUUAGGCUUUUGUAGGGGACUGGGGGAUAGCCAGAGUUGUGUUCCUAAGCCAUCGGAUGCUCUAAAUCACCCUCUGGCAAAGCCUGCUUCCUUCUUAUAAAGCAAGCUCAGGGAAACGAACCAUCCAGGUUGGGUGGGUAAUUCUGCUCAUGUGAGUACGCCCCCGGUGGGUUUAUUUGGAGGGGAAAGAGAAACACUCAGGAGGAUUAUAAACAACAGUAAUUGGCGACAAAAAGUCAGUCUCCACUUCAUGUUUGCUGAUUGUGUGCAAGUGUAUAGUCAGUUUUGCUGAUGCUUGUACAUAAGAGAGAUUCUGAAACACGAGUAAUUUGAUGCAUGCUCUUUGUCUUGCUACAGUAAUUACAAUCUUUCAUUGCCCAGGAGCUGAGCUGUAGCUCUUCUUCUGUUUUACAGUUUGUUAUGUUGCCUUAAUUGCACCAUCUAUCGUGACAUUUUUUGUGCUUUUUAUUUUUGCCUUUUACUGUGGAUGCUCUAAGCCAAGUAAGUGAUACUACAGCAUCUGGGAAACCUGUCAGGCUGCAUUCAGGUCAGCAGUUCAUCAGUGAGUGCAAUGAAAGAUAAUCUAUGAACGUCAAAGUUGUAGGACCUUGAAAAAAGGCAAUCAGCAGGAACAGCUUGGAAAUCUGCUGAACAGAAGGACCUAAAGAUUCCUACUGUCAUUUGUGGGGGAAACAUUUUUCCUCUGGUCCCAAACCCAGGCCGCUACCACAGAGCCGAAGCCUGCCGCGUUCAGGUACAGCCCUGCCGCUCGACACCCGAGCCCAGCAGUUCCCCCAGCGGCUCCUCUUCCUCUCGCCGUUCCGCCUGCAGCUCUCUCUCCACGGGCCACGCGUGACCUCGGGGCCCUGCCGGUGUUUCAUUUGUCGCGCCGGCUGCGUGGCGGGGCGGGCGGAGCCGGUCCCGCGGCCGUGGGUGCCGGGACACGCGUGGGCGGGGCGGGGCGGGAGCGGCCGCGGCGCUGUCCGCCGUGCUGACCGCCAGCGGGGAGGGUCCCGCUGCUCCGCAAAUGGCGGGGGGAAAGGCGGAGGGGUGUGCUGGCUGCCCCUCCUGCCGCUGCUGGGGCUGGCUCCCCCGGGUGGGUGGGAAUCGGGGGGUUUUCGGUUGGCUUCCUGCUUGGUCUUAAAAGGGUUGGCUGCUCUAUAGUCUUUCUGCCCGUAAUCUCUGGGUCGUUUCUCUAGUCGCGUGGCUUCGUGGCGCACUGGAGCCCAGAGAUUUGCACCAUGGCAGAUAACUCUGAGUAUCUCCAGCCAGGGCUACCUUUCCUAUUGCCUUGCAGAAAGCUACUGUUACUGAAAUAACUGUGCACUAAGCUGAGCCGAGUGGGGGGGAGUUCUUGGGAGGAUCAUUCUUCUGAAGGUGGCUGUGCUACACCAAAGCAGGGAGCAACUCUGCUCGUACCAUCCCAGCACAUCAACUGACAGAGCUGCAAAACCUGAAUCCUUAAAAUCCUGACUGAACUGAUAUAGCUGAGCUUCUGUGUGCUUUUGAUUACAAUACUUGAUUGCCUAGAACUGCUUACGGUAGCUAAAAAUAUCUGAUAUAUUCAAACUAUCAACGACACAUCCAGCAGAGAAUACUGGAUGCCACCCACUGGCUCAAAACGUUUUUUCACCAUGUGCCUGACUUGCUACAGGAGCCAGAAGGCAGGAAGAGAGACAGUCAGGGGUGACAUUGAAAGAAAUUACUUAUCUAACUUGUUGGAUCAGUUUGUGGUUCAGAGUUUUGUAGUACUAAAAGCUCUUUGUGAAGUGUGACUAUUUAAAUUGGUGCAAUCUCUCUGAUGGUGUUGGAGAGCUGCUUCAAGUCCAGCAUUUCCUAGGAAAGCUGAUAGCAAAAGACAUUUCUAUAGGUUUUAUUACAUACUGUGGUUUGGUCUACAGCAACCUUUGGGUCCAUGAGAAGAUCAUACUGGGCUCAGCUGUACCAUCCUCUGGGUGACUAACAUUUAAAGCUUUAACAGUUUUAGAGUAAAGAUAGAUUUAUUUUUCACUUUGUUGACAUGUUCAUGGGUUCCUUCUGACAGAGUAUGUAUGCCAGUCAGGCUCAAGGAAGAAGAAAUCUCAGGACCCACCAUCACCUUGAUUCCCUAGGCCAAAUGAGCAUCCAAGGAAGGAGUAUUUGAGAGGAGAAGAUCCUAAAUCUCUACACUCAUGAUUUCUGACAUUGUAACCUCUGUCAAGCACCCUUUUUGGCAGUUUUCUGAAAAGCCCUUGUUAGCAGUCUAGGACGCUUUUUUCUCCUGCUUCUACCUUUAUCUUGCAUUUGGCCCUGUUUCUGUUUAUUUCAGGGAAUGACAGAAUGCCUUUUAUUCAGAGUGGCAAACCUUGGUUGUAAGAUUCACAAAGUUCCUUUGCAGCACUUGGUGUACAAGAGCUUUACUUCUGUAUGUGUUGCUCCUUUCACUUGCAGGAAGGAUGUGAAGGUUCAUCUACAACAAUCUUGCUUUUAGCAUAAGGGCUUGUCCACAGGAUUAUUGUUAGCAUGGGACAUUUUUACGUUAUAUAUUAGAAUUCAUAUGAUUCUAGAAAUCUCUGCUUCAUUCCUCCCAUGUGCUCAAAUAAUGGCUGUACAAAGGAGACUACUCGUCUUGCCUGUGCCAAGCAAGAACUCAUUUCUGCAGUUGAUGUACCAUCACCCAGCCUUUGCCUGCAGGAUUAUAUUCUCUGCAUAGGAAGAGUCAACUGUAGAGAAAAAGCUUCAAGAGUGGAGUACAACCAUUUAUAAACCUUCUGCAACAAAACACAAAAAGUGUUUCCCAUUACAUGCCAGAAGUUGUGCCUUGGGAUUUCUAUCAUGUGUCAUUUUUCAUCCCAUGAUCUUCAAGAAUGAUGUACGUGUAACUUUUAAUUUUUUUUAAUAGUGAGCAUGUUAGGAAGAUCAGGUCAGGCAGAGCUCAGCUAGCUAUCAGGAUGAUUUUCAUUGUGUAUGUCACCAAUUUGUCAUUCCCAGAAGGCUAAAUUUUUGGUUAGGUUUCAUUGCAUGAGGUGACAGGCUGUCGUGGUUUAACCCCAGGCAGCAACUAAGCACCAUGCAGCUGCUCACUCACUCCCCCCCCACCCAGUGGGAUGGGGGAAAGAAUCGGAACGAAAAAGGUAAAACUCACGGGUUGAGAUAAGAACAGUUUAGUAGAACAGAAAAGAAGAAACUAAUCAUGAUAAUAAUAACAAUAAUGAAAUGAAAAUACUAAUAAAAAGAUUGGAAUAUACAAAACAAGUGACGCACAAUGCAAUUGCUCACCACUCGCCAACUGAUGCCUAGUUAGUUCCUGAGCAGUGAUCCCCUCCAGGCCAGCUCCCCCCGGUUUAUAUACUGGGCAUGACAUCACAUGGUCUGGAACACCCCUUUGGCCAGUUUGGGUCAGCUGUCCUGGCCGUGUCCCCUCCCAACUUCUUGUGACCCUCCAGCCUUCUUGCUGGCUGGGCAUGAGAAGCUGAAAAAUCCUUGACUUUAGACUAAACAUUACUUAGCAACAACUGAAAACAUCAGUGUGUUAUCAACAUUCUUCUCAUACUGAAUCCAAAACAUAACACUAUACCAGCUACUAGAAAGAAAAUUAACUCUAUCCCAGCUGAAACCAGGACACAGGCGUAGGCUUAGCUGCCCUCCUCUUUGCAGUAUUUGAAGUUUAAUUGAUGCUAGUUGCAGAAAGAUACCAGAUACCUUCAGACAACAAAAUGUUUAAAUCCAGGUAAGAAAUUAUUCUGUCAGGCCAGCAUGUUCUGCCAAGUGGAAGAGAGCUUCAUUAAAGCAAGCAAUGUCUGUUAUGUCCCUGUUACAAAAUACUAGUUUUCUGAACUGAGCAUUCAUAUGGAGAUUUUAGAGAGAGACGUGGAGCACCCCCGGUUGUUCUGUGCACUACCUCAACGUAUUCACCUCCUAGUUUCCCUGGUCUCUGGUGUGACUAGGCCCCAGGGAAACAUAGGCACUUUUUCUUCUCUGUAAAGCAGGAAAUUGCUGGGUUUGCAUUGGCAAAGGAAUGAGAGUUUGAUGGAGCCCUCUCUAUGCUCCACUGUGAUAUAAGGCUAUGCAGUCAAUUUACCAAUGGCUUCUGCUGCCCAACAGGUUCCCCACCCUAAGACUGUGUGGCAAAUGUUCUAUUUUAGGAGCACACAUCUAGGUAAUAUGUCUCUGUGAUUAAAGAGGCAACGGAUUACCUCUGGCAGCGUGUGUUUCAUCCUAAUGAACAAGGGCAAGGCCCUGACCUACCUAAUCUAGUUGGCCCUGCUUUGAGUGGGACGUUGGACUAGAUGACCUGCAAAGGUCCCUUUCAGUCUAAAUUAUUCCAUGAUUCUAAUGCAGCUGCCUGAGCAUAUAGCCAGAGUCAAGGAUGCUUUAUACAGCUGGUGCUGGAGCCACUGCUGCUGCAGGUGCUCUUGGGCAGAGGUUUGUCUCCAAGUGCUGCCUUCAUUUCUCCUGAUGAGCGUGGAGGCACUCGGAGAUACUGUUUCUGGGACUGUGCCGUUGUGUGGCCGACUGUGCAGUGCAAACACAUGGCAGUCCUGACACGCCUCUGCCUCCCACGCUCGGUUCUCUGCCUGCCACCGUGGAUGUGGCUGGAUGACUACCUUUCUGCAGUACUUGCACUGAAGAAGAAUCCCUGCAGCUAGACAGAGCCCCUUUGGGCAGCUCUGGUGCUUUGUGAAAGGCUCAGGAAUCUCCAGAUCUGAAAACCUAAGGCCACGUGCCACCCCACCUGGUGAUCCAUUGCUCUUCACUGUGAGUGGGUCAUUCUCUGUGUUUCUCACAGGGUUGCUGGUUGCACAAGCCAGCACCAAUUUAUUCUGUGGGCAGUCCUGCAUCUUUACUGGAAUGCAGAUUUCACUAUGCCCCUUUCCACUGCUUCCAAACAAGAUAAAUCAUGCAAGACUUUAACCUUUAUUUUCUACAAGUUGUCUUUUUCAGCGCUGUGUGCCAUGAAAGCUCCCCAUAAACAGGCGGGAACUGAGAACAGGAGUUCCUUUGAGUUAUACAUAAACCAAGUUUGAGCCCAGAUAGUGACAUUUAUAGAGGCAGGUGGCUUGUUGAAUAGUAUGCUCAACUGCCAGCCGUGAUACUAAAUGUCAGCCCAGGAAUGCUAUAAAUCCUAUCUAAAAAGUGCUCAGAUUGUUUUAUUUGUUUUAUGUUUCAACAUGCUAGCCCAAAGCUCCACACAUAAGAAAAGAAUAAACAGUGUGGGUGGCAUAAUUGUUACUUUUUUAUAUCCCAGACAUACGCUUUUAGCAAUCGGGACCUCAUAAAUUUUCCCUCAGUGCUUGUCAGCGUUGCUUUGGUUUCCAACCGGGGGCUUUGAACUCCGCUGGCCCUUCUCCAGAGCUAUGAUCUUGCCUGUACCGAUGUCUGCAGUUUUGGGGGUCUAAUAAAAAUGCUUCUGAGAAAAAAGCAUAGCUUCUAUCAGUGAAAGACAGAACUUGACAGGUAGGACUAAGACUUGUUCCCAUUUUAAAUGGACCUUCCUUUACUAAUCACCCUCUCCCUGGUACUCCCAUCCCCACCGCUGUGGCUGUGGUUAUCCUACAGUUCGGUCCUUUUAGGUUUAGCCUUUUGCAGCCUGUGCUGCUCCUGUACUCGUUUCCUCUACAAGUUUCCCACCUGAUUGGCAUUUGAAAAUCCUGCUCACCUCCUCAACAGGAUCUGUGUGAACAGUGUCACUAGAUUUCGAGACUGUUUGCUUCAGCUGCCCGUUCUGACCUGUGGAUGAGGCUCUGCGAAGCCUGUGACCGUAGCUGAUGGAGACAGGCUGCUGCAGGGCUUGCAGUGUGCAGGAGUUCUUCUCAGGGAAAAAGGCCCUUGUCGCUGUUCUCACAACAGGACCCCGAGCACAACGCUGCUCAGAAUUCACCUGAGGAGCCGGAACAGCAGCAUCCCACCUCUCCCUGCUGGCGUGAGCUGAUUUAACGCUUCAGACCGGGAUGCGAGUGCCAACCCGUGAGCAUCUCCUGCCCGUGUGGGCUCUGCUGCGAGUAGCAGAGACAAAUGUGGUGACAGACUUAUCAGAAACACUGACCGAAAUGAAGCUGUUGAUCCAAACAUCCUCAUCAUCCUUUAUCCUAAAGCCAAAGCAAAAAUGAGACGUCCCAGUGGGUGUGGGCCAUGUUUCUUUAUAGGUGGUCAGGACUUCUAGCAAUAGACAACAUCUUGAAUUCAGUCUAUGGCAGUGACUGCUGCAUGACAAGGUAAUGUUCCCCUUUGUGGACUGAAAGGAGAAGACUAUGUGCCUGUAUUUCAGCAGGUCUUGGUGUGAAGAACAGGAGGUCUUCCUCCGUGGUGACUGGAGCAUUACUUUGUCACCUUCAGAUGUUUGCUUGAGGGAAGAAAGGAAAGAUCAGAUCUAUCUUGGAUCUAUCUUGGAGAAAUGAGAAUGGAUUUUCUUCCCAUAAAAGAAACUUGACAAAUCAGUGUUAACUACACUUCGUGCAUAACAUUUCGAUAAGCGCGUAAGAAAAGAGAUGAGAAAGUAAAUAGGGUUUGUCUCCAUCGCAAACUCCAGGUUUCCAUGCCAGAUGAAAGCCAACGGUCAGUGUUAGUGGUCUUUUAAGGAGAGUGAGGGCAAAAGGAAUCCUGAAUGGGUCAGGACUGCCACCUCUUCCCACGCUUUUUGGUGUCGUCAAGCAUGGCCGGUUAUGAAAGUGGAUGGGAAAUCAGAUGCGAUGUUAUUUAUCCCAUACAGUAUGUCUGUUGUACUAUGUGAUGUUAUACGGCUGUGUAUGUCACUAAGACAUUGACACCAAAUCCCUUGAUUAGAAAAUGGUAUUUUGUCACCGCUUCAUAAUUUACCGUUUUAGAACUCUGCAU
This is a long non-coding RNA of Harpia harpyja (harpy eagle), 6899 nucleotides long. RefSeq lists it as uncharacterized. The transcript is spliced from 5 exons. The record is from RefSeq and is a predicted model, not a curated record. Lineage: Eukaryota; Metazoa; Chordata; Aves; Accipitriformes; Accipitridae.